AUUGGGGAAUUUUCCGCAAUGGGCGCAAGCCUGACGGAGCAAGACCGCGUGCGGGAGGACGGCCUAUUGGUUGUAAACCGCUUUUGAUAGGGAAGAAGUUCUGACGGUACCUAUCGAAUCAGCAUCGGCUAACUCCGUGCCAGCAGCCGCGGUAAUACGGAGGAUGCAAGCGUUAUCCGGAAUUAUUGGGCGUAAAGCGUCCGUAGGUGGUUGUUCAAGUCUGCUGUUAAAGCGUGCGGCUUAACCGCAUACCAGCAGUGGAAACUGGGCGACUAGAGUGCGGUAGGGGUCAGGGGAAUUCCCAGUGUAGCGGUGAAAUGCGUAGAUAUUGGGAAGAACACCGGUGGCGAAAGCGCCUGACUGGACUGCACUGACAC
RNAcentral lists this ribosomal RNA (377 nucleotides) under uncultured cyanobacterium. Its description in RNAcentral is "bacterial SSU rRNA". It matches the Rfam family "Bacterial small subunit ribosomal RNA", at positions 353 to 746 of the family's 1533-position model. The record is from RNAcentral. Lineage: Bacteria; Bacillati; Cyanobacteriota.